GAGACUAUUUAAAAAUGACAAAUUCUUUACAAUUUGGCAACACCCAUCAAUCGCCGGGUCGCCUGUUCAUUCUUUAUUCUCUCGUAGUAGAGCCAUAGUAGAGUAAAGCACGUGUCGUAAAACCUUGUUGUCACAGUUUCUCCAUGGCUAUUUUAUUGUUUUUAUUGGAUGUUUUGAUUUUGUAUUUUUUGGAUUCGAUUUUCUUAGUGUGUAGUGUCGGUUUAGUGUUUAUUUUGAUUACUUUUUAUUUAAAAACUAUAAAACAUGGUUCGUCAGUGCCAAAUUUGUAAGAAAUUGGACUAUUUAAGUCCUGGAACAACAUUCCACAGAUUAUGCUGCCAAAGUUUCCUGAAUACAAUUCCGACCACUCUGUAUAUCAAGAUAUCCCCCAUUACGUACUAGUUUUUCUUAAUAAUUUUCUAUACAUUUUCCAACGCCAAGAUGUACCAAGCGCAUACAAAUACAUCAAGCUUCAAACAAGCUUGCACGUUGACAGUAAUACCUACAGUAAUAUUGUAUUAUAUUAAUGUAAUAUUUUUGAACCAAUGUUCAAUAUUACUGUAGUAAUACUGUUUAUACUCAUGCCUUUUAUAUUUGUUUGAAUUUGGUGCAUAUUUCCAUUGAAUAAAGUAUAGUCACCAUUACCAUUAUUAUACUUACUCUAUAAUAAAGACAGUAACGAGUUAAA
RNAcentral lists this long non-coding RNA (688 nucleotides) under Sitophilus oryzae (rice weevil). RNAcentral describes it as "uncharacterized LOC115877994". Lineage: Eukaryota; Metazoa; Arthropoda; Insecta; Coleoptera; Curculionidae. The record is from RNAcentral.